CAAAUGAACCAUGGUUGGAUAACUUUCUUGGUUAAACGAUUGGAAAUUUGGAAAAUGAAAGUCCAAGGCAGAUUGCCUUAGGAUUUUUCUUGAACUUCGGUUGGCUCAUUAACUACCUUGCCGAAGGUAUUUUUCCCCGAAAAUCGAUAGAGAGAUACUUUCCAUAUAGUAUUGAAAUACUGCCAAUUUUGGUGCCGAUUCAAGUUCGUUUCGAUACCAAUUGAAUUACUAAAGUUAGAGGUUCAAAUCUGGAAAAUUCUCAUCCAGUCUUGAAUUUGCUCAACUUCGGGCUACCGUAUCUCGGUACUCGAAACUCCGAUUCUUGAUCCGCUUGUUUUGUCAUACACUUCACUUGCAACACUAAUUGAGCUGAAAAUUUCAGAGGCCGGUUUGCAACGUGCGAAUCGUGCCGAAUUUUCAAAGUUGGCCGAAAUCCAACU
This 440-nucleotide long non-coding RNA is filed under the name Coffea arabica (coffee). Its description in RNAcentral is "long non-coding RNA (CARA_LNC008351)". Lineage: Eukaryota; Viridiplantae; Streptophyta; Magnoliopsida; Gentianales; Rubiaceae. The record is from RNAcentral.